AGCGAACGCUGGCGGCGUGCCUAACACAUGCAAGUCGAACGUGAAAAGGGAAACCUGAGUAAAGUGGCGUACGGGUGAGUAACGCGUAGGUAAUCUACCCCAGAAUCUGGAAUAACCUGCCGAAAGGCGGGCUAAUACUGGAUAGAGCGAGGGAACUCGUAAGAGAGUUUUUCGGGAAAGGGAGCCCGCAAGGGCCUUCGUUCUGGGAUGAGCCUGCGUCUCAUUAGCUAGUUGGUAAGGUAACGGCUUACCAAGGCGAUGAUGAGUAGCUGGUCUGAGAGGAUGAUCAGCCACACUGGAACUGAAACACGGUCCAGACUCCUACGGGAGGCAGCAGUGGGGAAUCUUGCGCAAUGGACGAAAGUCUGACGCAGCCACGCCGCGUGAGUGAAGAAGGCCUUCGGGUUGUAAAGCUCUGUCGGAUGGGACGAACAUCUUCAUAGUGAAUAGCUAUGAGGACUGACGGUACCAUCAAAGGAAGCACCGGCUAACUCCGUGC
Molecule: ribosomal RNA, 499 nt
Filed under: uncultured bacterium
Lineage: Bacteria
Description: partial 16S ribosomal RNA
Rfam family: Bacterial small subunit ribosomal RNA
Source: RNAcentral